GGGGACGCCCCGGCUGCCCCGACUUCGCCCGCCCUGCGGCCGAGGGAGCUGGUCCGACCUACCGGCGGCGGCGGCCCUUUUCGGCGGGCGCGCUCACGUGCAGCGUAGAGUGCCCGGCAGCGCUGCGGCAGGGAGAAGACUUCCUGAUACUUGGUAAAACAUAUCUCUACAAUGGAAUACUAUGUAGCUGUAAGAAAGAAUAAGAAAACUUUGUGUCCUGAUCUGGAAAGAGACCCAAAUAAAAGAAAUAGCACCCCUGGGUGGUUCUCAAGGAACAGCCCCGUGCUCACUCUUGCUGAUGGAUGCCACCUGACAAUUCACACGGCUGGACUUACCAUGAGGUUUGAUUAUCGGCAGUAAUUCGAUGCAGACA
Non-coding RNA from Manis javanica (Malayan pangolin), 373 nucleotides. The record is from RefSeq and is a predicted model, not a curated record. Lineage: Eukaryota; Metazoa; Chordata; Mammalia; Pholidota; Manidae.